Molecule: ribosomal RNA, 397 nt
Filed under: uncultured bacterium
Lineage: Bacteria
Description: bacterial SSU rRNA
Rfam family: Bacterial small subunit ribosomal RNA
Source: RNAcentral
GAGCGCCGUAGCAAUACGGAGCGGCAGACGGGAGAGUAACACGUGGGAACGUGCCCUUCAGUUCGGAACAACCUAGGGAAACUUGGGCUAAUACCGGAUACGUCCGUAAGGAGAAAGAUUUAUCGCUGAAGGAUCGGCCCGCGUCUGAUUAGCUUGUUGGUGAGGUAACGGCUCACCAAGGCGACGAUCAGUAGCUGGUCUGAGAGGAUGAUCAGCCUCACUGGGACUGAGACACGGCCCAGACUCCUACGGGAGGCAGCAGUGGGGAAUAUUGGACAAUGGGCGCAAGCCUCAUCCAGCCAUGCCGCGUGGGUGAUGAAGGCCCUAGGGUUGUAAAGCCCUUUCGGCGGGGAAGAUAAUGACGGUACCCGCAGAAGAAGCCCCGGCUAACUUCGUG